GGGAGGCAGCAGUGGGGAAUAUUGGACAAUGGGCGCAAGCCUGAUCCAGCCAUGCCGCGUGUGUGAUGAAGGCCUUAGGGUUGUAAAGCACUUUUGUCCGGGAAGAUAAUGACUGUACCGGAAGAAUAAGCCCCGGCUAACUUCGUGCCAGCAGCCGCGGUAAU
This 164-nucleotide ribosomal RNA is filed under the name uncultured bacterium. RNAcentral describes it as "partial 16S ribosomal RNA". It matches the Rfam family "Bacterial small subunit ribosomal RNA", at positions 343 to 524 of the family's 1533-position model. The record is from RNAcentral.